AGAUGAGGACUCACUAUGCUGUCCAGACUGGUCUCAAACUCCUGGGCUCAAGCCAUCCUCCCUGCUCAGUCUCCCAAAGUGCAGGCCUGAGCCACCAAGAAUGACUGACCCUGUUCCUUGAGGCUGUGGAGGAUUCUCAGUGAUUCCACUGGUCAAAUGAUGUGAGACACAGGGGAAGACCUAUGAAAGCCUGCUGGUGCUAAGACAUUGAGCUAAAUGUCUUAAGUGGUUUCAGAGAGGCUCCAUCUGAUUGUGGAUAUUUUGCAAAUGAAUGGAUUACAAAAAAGACCUUCAAAGAGGAAAACAUUGUACUAGAAGACCUCUUCCCUGCACUCCUGUAGGUCAAUUACCAAAACAAACAGAUAAACAAACUGUGGACUCUUGAAGAAAACGGAGAAAACAAAAAAUAAUUACACUGCAGUCUUAAAAGAGAGAAGUUAAAAGGCAAAACUGUAUUUCAUCCUUGUCUUAUAAACAGUGAAUUGUAAAACUUGUCUAUCACUUUUUUUAAAUUUUCAACCACUGGCUUUUUUUUUAAGAAAAGGAAAAGAAAUUUCUGUAGUCCAAAACAAUGUUUACUUGUAAAAAUUGAUGAUGUCUUAAAAUGGGAUAGAGAUUAGCACAGCUCUGUCUACUGGAAAUGUAAUAUAAGGCACAUAGGUACUUUUAAAGUUUCUAAUAACUGCAUUUUAAAAAGAAAAAAGUGGAAAUAGGUUUAAUAAUAUGUUUUAUUUAACCCAAUAUGUACAAAUGAUUAUUUCAACAUCUAACCAAAAUAUAACAAUUGAGAUACUAUAUAUUCUUUCUUUUGUACACUGUCUUUGAAACUUGGUGUGUAUUUUACAUUCACCGUAUAUUUCAACUUGGGCUAGCUAUAUUUCUCAUUCUAAGUACUCAGAAGUCACACGUGGUUAUUGCUUAUUGGCUCUCACAUCAGUAAACACAGGUUUAGCAUAGAGUCCUGUCUUUGUAAUCAGACGAAUAUUUGUUCAAAACAUGACUGUAUGGCCUUAGCUAUGUGGCCUUAGACAAGUGGCUUAACUUCUAUCCUUUAAAAAAAAUAAAAUGGAGAUAAUAAUAUCUAACUUCUAGAAUUUUGUGAGAAUUAAAUACUCUAUGUCAAUCUUUCUUCAUAUGGUCAAUCCCAAUAAAUGGCUGCUAGUAUUGGAAGUACAGUAGAGUAGAUUAUGACAGUGCAGCUAUUAUUUUUAAACAAGUUAAAAAUUACCCUAAUUUUGGAGUAUCUGCUAUAUUUCCAAUAAAGUGAAGGUAUGCACAAGACGUCUGCCAGCCUGUGCUGUCCGGCCCUAUGGCAAAGUUGGAAUAUUGAA
Molecule: long non-coding RNA, 1331 nt
Organism: Gorilla gorilla gorilla (western lowland gorilla)
Lineage: Eukaryota; Metazoa; Chordata; Mammalia; Primates; Hominidae
Exons: 3
Source: RefSeq, a predicted model, not a curated record